Molecule: transfer RNA, 77 nt
Filed under: Enterovibrio gelatinilyticus
Lineage: Bacteria; Pseudomonadati; Pseudomonadota; Gammaproteobacteria; Vibrionales; Vibrionaceae
Also listed under: 1 other name
Description: tRNA-Val
Rfam family: tRNA
About the family: Transfer RNA (tRNA) molecules are approximately 80 nucleotides in length.
Source: RNAcentral
GCGCCCGUAGCUCAGUUGGUUAGAGUAUCGCCUUGACAUGGCGGGGGUCGGCAGUUCGAGUCUGCCCGGGCGCACCA